ACGGCAGCAUAGAGAGCUUGCUCUCUGAUGGCGAGUGGCGAACGGGUGAGUAAUACAUCGGAACGUGUCCGUUUGUGGGGGACAACCACCCGAAAGGGUGGCUAAUACCGCAUAAGACCUGAGGGUGAAAGCCGGGGACCGCAAGGCCUGGCGCGAACGGAGCGGCCGAUGACUGAUUAGCUGGUUGGCGGGGUAAAGGCCCACCAAGGCGACGAUCAGUAGCUGGUCUGAGAGGACGACCAGCCACACUGGAACUGAGACACGGUCCAGACUCCUACGGGAGGCAGCAGUGGGGAAUUUUGGACAAUGGGGGCAACCCUGAUCCAGCCAUGCCGCGUGCGGGAAGAAGGCCUUCGGGUUGUAAACCGCUUUUGUCAGGGACGAAAAGGUGCGGGUUAAGAGCUAGCACUGAUGACGGUACCUGAAGAAUAAGCACCGGCUAACUACGUGCCAGCAGCCGCGGUAGUACGUAGGGUGCGAGCGUUAAUCGGAAUUACUGGGCGUAAAGCGUGCGCAGGCGGUUGGGUAAGACAGAUGUGAAAUCCCCGGGCUUAACCUGGGAACUGCAUUUGUGACUGUCCGACUGGAGUAUGUCAGAGGGGGGUGGAAUUCCAAGUGUAGCAGUGAAAUGCGUAGAUAUUUGGAAGAACACCGAUGGCGAAGGCAGCCCCCUGGGGCAAAACUGACGCUCAUGCACGAAAGCGUGGGGAGCAAACAGGAUUAGAUACCC
Molecule: ribosomal RNA, 730 nt
Filed under: uncultured bacterium
Lineage: Bacteria
Description: bacterial SSU rRNA
Rfam family: Bacterial small subunit ribosomal RNA
Source: RNAcentral